Molecule: long non-coding RNA, 2917 nt
Organism: Pan troglodytes (chimpanzee)
Lineage: Eukaryota; Metazoa; Chordata; Mammalia; Primates; Hominidae
Exons: 6
Source: RefSeq, a predicted model, not a curated record
AGCAGAGGGGUCAAGCUCUUGAGUUCUUACAGUGACAAUUACAUGCUUUAGCCUGCGUGAGUUACAAGUUACUUUUACUCAGUGGCCAUAGCUAGCUGCAUCCUCCACCCAACCAAAGGUAGUCAGGUAGUGCAAUAUUACCAUUGCCCAGAAGAGUACAAAUUGGAAACAUUUGGGGAAUAACACCAAAGACUACAGUUGUAGGCUGAAUAAUAGCUCACAAAGAUAUCAGGUUCUAAUCCUUGGAAUCUGUAAAUGUUACAUUAUUGGAAAAGAGUCUUUGCCAAUGUGAUUAAGCUAAGGAUCUUAAGAGUGGGAGAUCAUCGAAUUAGGCCCUAAAUGACACAGUAUGCAUCUUUAUAAAAGGAAGGCAGAGAGAGAUUUGACACAGGCAGAAGGGGAGGAGGCAAUGUGACCAUGGAGGUAGAGACUGGAGUCAGGCAGUGAUACAGUUGGUCACCAGAAGCUGAAAGAGGUCUUGCUCUGUCGCCCAGGCUGGACUGCAGUGGUGCAAUCAUGACUCACUGCAGCCUCGAUCUCUACAGCUCAGUUGAUUCUCCCACUUCAGCCUCCUGAAUAGCUGGGACUACAGGCACGUGCCACCACAUCAGGCUAAUUUUUAAAUUUUUUUGUGGUGACAGGGUCUUCCUAUGUUGCACAGGCUGGUCUUGAACUCCUGAUUUCAACAGAUCCUCCCACCUUGGCCUCCCAAAGCAUUGGGAUUAUAGGCAUGAGCCACCAUGCCUGGCCACUAAUGCAGUUUAAAUAUUAGGAAUUUGUUAUAUAAUAUUACAAGAAGUUAAGAGGUAAUUUUCCACAAGUCUGUCUCAGUUGUUCAAUGGUGUCAUCAAAGACCUUCCACUAUGCCAUCUUCAGGGUGCUGGCUCCUGUCAUAUGGGUUGCUUCAAGGUUGCAAAAUGGCUGCUGCAGUUCUAACCAUCACAGUCACUCACAAAUAUUUGCAUGCAAUCAUUCAGUUAGUAAGUAAAUUUUAUGAGACAGUACUAAAUACCAGGCAUUAUUGUAAGCAUGGGAACAUAACCAUAAACAAAACUGAGGAAGUCACUACUCUCAUGAACUCUCAUGGGAACAUAACCAUAAACAAAACUAAGGAAGUCACUACUCUCAUGUACUCUCAGCCUGAGCCGGGCUGGAGUACAGUGGCACAAUCACAACUCACUGCAGCUGUGACCUCCCAGGCUCAAGCCAUCCUCUUGCCCCAGUCUGCCAAGUAGCUGGAAUUGCAGGUGUGCACCAUCCUGCCUGGCUAACUUUUGUGUUUUUUGUAGAGACGAGGUCCCACUAUUUUGACCAAGCUGAUCUGGAACUCCUGGGCUCAAGCAAUCUGCCCACCUCAGCCUCUCAAAGUGCUGGGAUUUCAAGCAUGAGCCACCAUACCUGGCCCUUUUUAUAUAACUUUUAAUCAUGAAGAAAAAUAUUUCUCUGAAGCCACCAAACUUCCUUCAUGGGCCAGCAUUAUGUCACAUGACUAACCCUCCUUAUAAAGGAAGCUGGGAAAGCAAGUCUCCAAAAUUCUCGGCCUCUGUCAUGACAGGUGGUCAUGAUAGAGGAAAGAAGAAGUAAAGGGAACAGCUGCCCAAGAGGCAACCAACAAUAUUUGCUACAAAUCAUGCUAAGCAUAGGUAGUCAUUCAGUAUCUGCUUUUUGAUAAAGCAUUAAGGUUGACAAUUAUUGCCCUGUGGCUGAAAUUUAAUAUUUCUCUCUGAAAGUUUUUGCUUUCUAAGUUUCUGUCACUUAUUCUAACAGCCUUAAUCAUGCAGCAGCUCCAACAUUCUAACAAACAUGCUUUGGAAAUUCACCAAGAAAUGCUGGCUUGCUCCCAGGACUAAGUGAUGGCAUUUAAUUUGCUCACCUGGAAAGAAGGACAAUUCCAGAAAAGACCAUUUCUUCUUGUAUUACUUAUUGGUCAACCAGCAACCUUUAAGCCAAAGCUGUGAAUAUAUAUAAUCUGUCAGCCUUCUCUAUGUGUUCUUCAGGACCAAGCCUCAGUUUCAAACUUCUUUUGUCCAGUGUAACUGCAAGACCCACUUUAGACUCUUCACUUCGCUUCUCCGUGGGCAAUAAAGCAGCAGUUCCAUCACCAUUGUCCAAACAGCAAAUGAGAAGUGAUGUUUCAAUAGAAGCUACUGUCUGGAAAAGAAGAGAAAGAGGCAGCUUUUCUGACAGAGCCGUUCACACUUUUCCUGCACAGCUGGGAGACAUUAGCUGAAUUUCCCCAGACUGGUCUGCUUUCUGGCAUGGUAAAUUAAAAACCCUGAGAGCCUCCAAGCAUUUGAACAGAUCCAUGGACUUUGCUCUGCCUUAGCUGCUUUGAAGCAUUUUAUGAAGAGGAACUGGUUCCAUCUGGGCAUAACUUCAAGUGGAACUAGGAGGCCGUCAGUUUUCUCAUAAUCUCUAAAGAGGUGCUGUGAUAAGAAACGGCCAUUUUCUUGCCAAGUGUCCCUUGUAGGGCAAUAUUCCUUUAUAGUGUGACAUACUGUGUUCCUCUUGGAGUUCAAGAAAAGUUGAUUUUCCUGACUGACAGUUUUACAACUUGGCUGAGAUCAUUCUGCUUGUCGAUACACUUCAGGGCCUGAGGUUAUCUCAAGAUGGCAGAAUGUACCGAGAAUUCAACAUCCUGAGAUAAGGAGGAAAUGCCCAGAACAACCCAAACUGUGUCCUCGUUUCUCCUAGAACAAGAUGUUCUGCAAUGCUUGAGCUCAGCGUGCCAAAUGUCACCCAGGGUAUAUAAACCCAGGGCAGCAUGCUUUUCAGGGUCCCUCAGUUGUGGUGCAACAUGGGGCAUGCACACACGGAACUCCAUCCACCCUGGGCAGCUUUCCUGAGCCUUAGGAAGCUGGCUUGCUCUGGUUUCUAGGCUUCUGUUUAUCCUUGCUGCCUAUAAUAAAUCUGUGAU